RNAcentral lists this ribosomal RNA (420 nucleotides) under Fusobacteriota bacterium. RNAcentral describes it as "Fusobacteria bacterium partial 16S ribosomal RNA". It matches the Rfam family "Bacterial small subunit ribosomal RNA", at positions 355 to 776 of the family's 1533-position model. Lineage: Bacteria; Fusobacteriati; Fusobacteriota. The record is from RNAcentral.
UGGGGGAUAUUGCACAAUGGGCGAAAGCCUGAUGCAGCGACGCCGCGUGGGGGAUGAAGGCCUUCGGGUUGUAAACUUCUUUUGCUCUGAACAAGGCAUGCCUUUGGGGUGUGUUGAGUGUAGGGGUUGAUUAGCGCCGGCUAACUACGUGCCAGCAGCCGCGGUAAUACGUAGGGCGCGAGCGUUGUCCGGAAUUAUUGGGCGUAAAGGGCUUGUAGGUGGCUGGUUGCGUCUGUCGUGAAAGCUCAUGGCUUAACUGUGGGUUUGCGGUGGGUACGGGCUGGCUUGAGUGCAGUAGGGGAGGCUGGAAUUCCUGGUGUAGCGGUGGAAUGCGCAGAUAUCAGGAGGAAUACCGGUGGCGAAGGCGGGUCUCUGGUCUGUUACUGACGCUGAGGAGCGAAAGCGUGGGGAGCGAACAGG